UUUCCGUAGGUGAACCUGCGGAAGGAUCAUUCAUAAUAAGUGUUUUAUGGCACUUUUUUAAAUCCAUAUCCACCUUGUGUGCAAUGUCAGGGUUGAUUUUUCUCUCGAGAGGAUCAACCUCAAACAUCAACUAUAUCUCAACUCUUUGUCUGAAAAAUAUUAUGAAUAAAACAAUUCAAAAUACAACUUUCAACAACGGAUCUCUUGGCUCUC
RNAcentral lists this unclassified non-coding RNA (213 nucleotides) under plant metagenome. Its description in RNAcentral is "partial contains small subunit ribosomal RNA, internal transcribed spacer 1, and 5.8S ribosomal RNA". The record is from RNAcentral.